RNAcentral lists this long non-coding RNA (4824 nucleotides) under Olea europaea subsp. europaea. Lineage: Eukaryota; Viridiplantae; Streptophyta; Magnoliopsida; Lamiales; Oleaceae. The record is from RNAcentral.
AGAGGUAGAUGUGGGGAGAGAGAAUGCAAGCAACUUGAGAGGAAUUAGAGAGUAGAGAGAAGAUUGGGAGUAGAGAGAAAAAAAAUAUAUAUUAGUUUCUCCUAAGUAUUACCUCCUUGUAUUCUCAUAUUACAAGAGAGAUUAAUUAUUGUUAUCUCCUUAUAUUUAGAGAGUGUUGUAAUUCUCCUACUAUAGUGAAAUCCUCCUAUACUUGCCCGUGGACGUAGCCUAAAUUGGGUGAAUCACGUAAAUACUUGUGUCCAUUUUCAGCUGCAGUUUCUCAAUUCCAUUUUGUUGUAAAGCCAAAGUCGACCCACGUUAUUUCUAACAUAACACGCUUUCACAAGUGAAUCAGCCAUGAUUUCUAUUCGAAGGAAGGAUACUUUGUCAAUCUAUCAGACGUACAGCAUCAUGCUUAACAGAAAAAUGUUUCAUUUGCAAAGAUACAACAUCCCGGACAAAGAAAAUUAUCAUCAAACCUAUUAUGGAAACCCCAAGAAAAAUCUUCUUUAUAAAGCUCAUGAUAGAAUCAUGAGGCAUGAAUACCCAAUCAAAAUAAAACAAGCAUACUUACAAUAGAAAUAGCACAUGAAAACAACAUUCUUAAAAGCACCUGUAGGGGAUAUAUCGGUGAGUUUCAAUAAUCGGCGAGUUGCACUCUCUCCUACAAAAUGAAGAAGAAAUAUCUCUAGGAACUGAAAUCCAUGAACCAUAAUGGCCUACAGAUAAUAGUUUGUCAACCAUCAGCUAGAACCGUGAACUCUAUAAGUCCAUAAUAUAGGCCACAGAUAGCUCAACACUACCUGUAGAGUCUCAAACGCAAUGCUUGAAGGCUGAAAAAACAAGAAGAAAAACAUUGAUGAACUUAUCGUUCCAUAUGUUGUCAUACGUAUACUUAUCCUACAAUGGCACGUCAAAAAUUAUGUCAGAAACUUCUGAUGAUAAUAACAUUUAGCAAUAAAGAGUUCCAUGAAUAUUAACUCAGAAAAUGUUAAUAAAUAUUGCACGAGGGAAAAAUCUUGAUAUUGGUAUAGAACAAUCUUAUAACUCAAUAACUUCAUCCCAUUAGUCAAAAUUGUAAAAAAAAAAAUAUUUGCAGGGUGUCUUGCAUACUAAAUACGUGUGCUUGAGAUUACUGAUUGACGUACCCAACUAUGAUAUCAAUGUGCAUAUUUUUUCCUGGUUCUCUUUCAUACAUAGCUGUAUAACACGGCUCCACUAAACCAACUCAUCAUAAAAAGCAACCUUCAGUCUGAAAAUAUAGGGCACAACCUCUCUUGAGUAGAAUUCUAUUAUACACAGAUCUGAAAAUAGUACAUCAAGAAUAUACCAUUUACAUGAAUCCCCUAAGACCACAGCAUCAAGUGAAAAUCCUUUAAGGCUCAGACCAAAGACCCCAUAACAAACAUUACAGAGACACCAAAUCUUAACCGCGAGCCCUCACAGUCCCAAAUCUACAAAGUUACUUCAACAGGACACAGAAUGAACAAAACCCCUUCGAUACAAAGAUUUCACACAGAGAAGAAUCACCCAAGGAAUGAAGAUCACAGGGAUGAUUCUUCAGAAUCUCACACAGAGAGAUCGAAGAAGAACAAAACUGAAAAACCCUAGUGAAGGUUCCAGAACACGGCUCACAGAAGAGAGAAAAAUGAAAAACGACUGCCAACCCUAAAAAUGAGAAAGGGAUAUAUUUAUAGUAGAAAACAUCAGCAAUCAGAUUAAUGGGUUGAUCCAACGGUCCCAGAGCAACUACGAGAAUGGGCCGGGUAUUGGGCUCGGUUAAGCGGGUCGUCUAAGUUUAAAAGAGUGGAUCAAUCUGCUCUUUAUCUAUUGGGCCUGGAAUUUAUCAUCAUUGCCUACAAUUGGACUGAUCAUGUUGGCAUCACAGCCCAACAGAUCUCCACCUUGAUGCCAAUGGUCAUACAAGAAGUCUAAUGAAAGUAAAACACAAGUUAUAUCUCUCCAAAAAUGCAGCUUCCCAGUACUUCCAAUAAGCAUCAAUUUCAGCACCUGUACAGAACCAAAAAUAUCUAACCAGCAUCAAUGUUCAAAAUUUGUAAACAAGACUUAGGGCCCGUUUGGCACGACUUUUACUUUGGCUUUUGCUUCUUGUAGAAGAGCUUUUGGAGAAAGCUAUUUUAAUUUUUGUUUGAAAAUUAAUAUUUAAAAUCACUUCCCAUUCCGGAAGUGCUUUUGGAGAAAGCCAAAAAAACCAGCUUCCUCUAAAAGCUCUUCUAACCUCCAAAAGCACUUUAAACAAAAAUAGCCAAACGGUCCAAAAGAGGCUUUUGGCUCUCAAAAGCUCCUUUUGGCUUUUCAAAAGCCAUCCCAAACGGGCCCUUAAACUUGUUUAAUGGUAUUACCUUAGUCCCUACAUCAGCUGGAUUAAACUGAGUUGCAAUUUUCUCAAGUAAAAUAAGUUCUUUUGAAACAAUAUCUCUAAUAAAAUGCAACUUAACAUCAAUAUGUUUGGUUCUUUCAUGAAAAACAGGGUUUUUACAUAGGUGAAUUGCACUUUGACUAUCUGAAUAUAAGACAACAGGGUUACUUAAUUCAUCUAUUUUAGAUAACAAGCCCUUAAGCCAUAAGGCUUCUUUUAUUGCUUCAGUUACAGCAACAUACUCGACUUCAGUAGUAGAUAAAGCAACAAUAGGUUAAAGUUGAGAUUUCCAACUAAUACAUGUAUUAUACAAAGUAAGCAUAUAAGAAAUAGUAGAUUUCCUAUUGUCUCUAUCUCCGGCAAAAUCUGAAUCUACAAAACCCUUAAGUACAACACCUUCAUUACAGGCACUAAAAAUCAAUCCAACAUGUGAAGAUCCUUUCAAGUAUCUCAACAGCCAUUUUAGAGCAACCCAAUGGUCAGGUCCUGGAUUUGCCAUAAAUCUACUAAGUGUGCUAAUGGAAUGAGCUACAUCAGGCCUAGUACAUACCAUAGUGUACAUAACAGAACCUACGGCAUUAGCAUAGGGUACAUUUUCCAUUUGUCUAAUGUCAGAUUCAUUUACAGGACAUUGCUCCUUACUGAGUUUAAAAUGGCUGGCCAAUGGAAGUGAAACUGAUUUAGAGUUAUGCAUGGCAAACUUAAUCAACAUUUUUUCANAAAAGUGACUUUAAGUGGGAGAAAUGUUGAAUAUUAAAGCCACAAUUGUUGACUCCAAUAAAAAUUGUUGAAACUUCAUGAAGAAGUUUUCAAGUUGCAAGUGACCAACUUGAAUUUGAAUUCCUUUCCACCAAUCACAACUUGGAAGUGGCAAAAUUGAAGUGAAACUCUCUUAGCCACCAUAUUUGACUAUUUAAGAAGAAAAUUCAUUUUGAAAUUCUUCUUGUUUUCAUGUAGAUACUUCCAUUAAGGAGGUUAACAAUUUCUAUAAAUAGAGGUAGAUGUGGGGAGAGAGAAGCCAAGCAACCUGAGAGGAAUUAGAGAGUAGAGAGAAGAUUGGGAGUAGAAAGAAAAAUUAUUAGUUUCUCCUAAGUAUUACCUCCUUGUAUUCUCAUAUUACAAGAGAGAUUAAUUGUUGUUAUCUCCUUGUAUUUAGAGAGUGUUGUAAUUCUCCUACUAUAGUGAAAUCCUCCUAUACUUGCCCGUGGACGUAGCCUAAAUUGGGUGAACCACGUAAAUACUUGUGUCCAUUUUCAGCUGCGGUUUCUCAAUUCCAUUUUGUUGUAAAGCCAAAGUCGACCCACGUUAUUUCUAACAAGAACAAGCACUAAGAUCUAGUGUUGCUCAUGUUAUAAAUUUGGAUUUACCAAAAUGAGUUCAAUAUACAGCUUUAGUCGCUGAACUUGAUGCAAUCAAAUAAAAACUAUAACUGAACACCAACAGCAAUUUGAAGAAACUAGAGAAAAUUUUUGAGUAAGAAAAAAUUUACUAAAGAUAGGGAGGCUAGGAAGAAGCAAAUCAAGAAAUGCAUCUUGAGUGCAUUCAGGGGUGAAAUACUACAGACUCUUUUUCAUUAACUACACAGUCGCUCUGUGAUUCAAUUGAUUCUUGGUUCUCCUUGACACGAUCUUGUUGGAAUUUACUAUAACCAGACCAUUGGUAUCAAAGUAAAAGGCGUGUAGUAGUAGGAACUUACUCACAAUCUGUCAUACAAUUAAACCACAUUAACAAGAAUGGAUGCAAACCGUCAAAUAGUCAAAUAGAGAACAACAAACUGUGGCCAAACUUUAAAUAUAUAUAUUUGCUACUAUAGUAUAGAUGUUGGGAAUUAAUUAGCUAUCAAAUGAUUCAACCCUACUCAACCAAUCAACCAAGUAUCCAAGUCGAGAACUCAAGCAGAAUCAAACUAUAUCAAUCUGGUUGAACAAUUAAAUCAUGUUACGAAGGUCAUUCAAAUGAGACACGGGAUUCUGUGAAUUUCUGUGAAUUAAUCUAAGUGUUGGGAGGAAGAGUACAAUUACAAUUCCCAAAAGAAACCAUGUAAAUAAAUAUUUUUCAGAUUUGUAAAACCCAUAAAUGUCAUAUGAAUAGCAACUUCAAAAUUUUCAGAUACGGGAAUAGCAACUGCAAAACCCAAAAUAGCAGCUACAAAACCCAUAAGUGUCAGAUGAAUAGCAACUACAAAGCCCAAUAAAACCCAUAAGCUUGAAAUUUAUCCUCGUGUUGUAAACGGAAUGGGAGCUGCUUCUUCAUGCUUGCGCAGGCUGUUUGAGUACUUAGCAAUGGGGUCAAGGACCUUGAUUUCGAGCUCAGGGUUUAGAUUUGGGGGAUUUAGGGUUUCAAUUUCGAUUAGGGUUCAUUUUCUUCCCUGAAAGUUAGCAAUUUCGGUGAGUGAAAUUUUAUGGAGGAAGCCUGUUCAAGGAAAGGCGUGUAAUAGAGUUGGG